UACGUAGGGCGCAAGCGUUGUCCGGAAUUAUUGGGCGUAAAGAGCUCGUAGGCGGCUUGUCGCGUCGGACGUGAAAGCUCGGGGCUUAACCCCGGGUCUGCGUUCGAUACGGGCAGGCUAGAGGCAGGUAGGGGAGAACGGAAUUCCCGGUGUAGCGGUGAAAUGCGCAGAUAUCAAGAGGAACACCUGAGGUGAAGACGGGUUGCUGGGCUGACACUGACGCUGAGGCGCGAAAGCCAGGGGAGCAAACGGG
Molecule: ribosomal RNA, 253 nt
Filed under: uncultured bacterium
Lineage: Bacteria
Description: partial 16S ribosomal RNA
Rfam family: Bacterial small subunit ribosomal RNA
Source: RNAcentral